This 17-nucleotide small RNA is filed under the name Arabidopsis thaliana (thale cress). RNAcentral describes it as "ATSL005470". The record is from RNAcentral. Lineage: Eukaryota; Viridiplantae; Streptophyta; Magnoliopsida; Brassicales; Brassicaceae.
UGUUGUUGUUGUUCUUU